Molecule: ribosomal RNA, 245 nt
Filed under: uncultured bacterium
Lineage: Bacteria
Description: partial 16S ribosomal RNA
Rfam family: Bacterial small subunit ribosomal RNA
Source: RNAcentral
CAGUGAUGUGGAGUAAAACUUAUAAAAGCGACCUCAGUUCGGAUUGAAGGCUGAAAUUCGCCUUCAUGAAGUCGGAAUUGCUAGUAAUGGCAGGUCAGCAUACUGCCGUGAAUACGUUCCCGGGCCUUGUACACACCGCCCGUCACACCAUGAGAGUUGGAGAUACCCGAAGCCUAUGAGCUAACUUUUAGAGGCAGUAGUCGAAGGUAGAAUCAAUGAUUGGGGUGAAGUCGUAACAAGGUACC